Long non-coding RNA from Polyodon spathula (Mississippi paddlefish), 698 nucleotides. RefSeq lists it as uncharacterized. The record is from RefSeq and is a predicted model, not a curated record. The transcript is spliced from 6 exons. Lineage: Eukaryota; Metazoa; Chordata; Actinopteri; Acipenseriformes; Polyodontidae.
CUCGAUGGUGCAAGCUGGAAGUAUAAAACAGGCUUCCGACGCGCUUGCUAGGUCUUGCUGAUACUGGCGGAUGGAGGUUGGUAGGAGACUGGUGAAUGUGACGCUGCCUCGUGCAGUGACCCGGUCCCUUGCCAUGCUGACAGGGAUGUCCCCUGGUGAUCACUCCCAUCCGCAUGCAUGCAGUAUUCCAUACGCUCUACAUCACCAAACCGGUCAUGGUUCACAUUGACUGCUUGUGUGAGGCAUGAGAAGACUGAAUUUAUAGAUGGACUGUCUUGUUAAACAGAUGGGGAGGGCAUGGAAUGUGUUGGUGAAUCUCUUGAGUAAUGAGACGGCUGCCUGGAUGCCCAGGAACUCUGUUACUGAAAGGGAGCGAUGCUGCUGCAUAUGGCUAUUGACUGGGCUGACCAGUUCCAGGCACUGAAUCUUCUGUAGAAUGUGUGGAGAUGACAUGACUGCACAGUGAUGGAGCUGCUCCCUGUCCUCUCAGCCUUCCUGAUUAGUUGAUCAAGAGACACAGAGGCUGAAGAGCGCCCCCUUGCUACACAUGUAGCUGCUGCUGUGAAACCAUUCCAUGUGUAGUGCUGGCUUUGGUGCAUAAUCCAAUAUGAAACCAUGACAUGUGUAGUGCUACGCUACAUAAUUGUAGCGCAAAGCAAAUUUAAUGUGAAUGUUAAACAUUAAAGCUACCGAUUACA